RNAcentral lists this non-coding RNA (85 nucleotides) under unclassified sequences. The record is from RNAcentral.
UGUUAAUGCAGCCCAAAAGGAAAAUGAAUUGAAAAAAUGAAUUUUCUUCUGGAUGGUCACAAGCCCAUAAAAAUGCAGAGUGGCA